UACGUAGGGGGCUAGCGUUGUCCGGAAUCAUUGGGCGUAAAGAGCGUGUAGGCGGUUCGGUAAGUCCGCUGUGAAAGUCGGGGGCUCAACCCUCGGAUGCCGGUGGAUACUGUCGGGCUAGAGUGCGGAAGAGGCGAGUGGAAUUCCUGGUGUAGCGGUGAAAUGCGCAGAUAUCAGGAGGAACACCUGUGGCGAAGGCGGGUCUCUGGGCCGAUACUGACGCUGAGAAGCGAAAGCGUGGGGAGCGAACAGG
Molecule: ribosomal RNA, 253 nt
Filed under: uncultured bacterium
Lineage: Bacteria
Description: partial 16S ribosomal RNA
Rfam family: Bacterial small subunit ribosomal RNA
Source: RNAcentral